GCUUUUUCAGUAUAAAUUUGUACAACUGCCUUCCAAGCAGCAAGUUUGAUUUUCAAAAAAAGUA
This 64-nucleotide transfer RNA is filed under the name Lamellibrachia columna. RNAcentral's name for it is "tRNA-Gly". Lineage: Eukaryota; Metazoa; Annelida; Polychaeta; Sabellida; Siboglinidae. The record is from RNAcentral.